This 225-nucleotide unclassified non-coding RNA is filed under the name Melitaea cinxia (Glanville fritillary). Its description in RNAcentral is "misc RNA ENSMCXG00005007006.1". The record is from RNAcentral. Lineage: Eukaryota; Metazoa; Arthropoda; Insecta; Lepidoptera; Nymphalidae.
GAUUAAAUGGUGCAAAAACAAUACCAAAGUAAACAAAAAAUCUGAAGGAAUAUCGUUUCACACGUUUCCAACGAAUAUUUUAAUAAGAGGUGAAUGGGUAGCGGCUGUAAGACUGAGCCGAAAUGAACCACAAUGGCAGCCAUCCUCAUCAAGUGUGGUUUGUUCAGACCAUUUUGAUAAGGCUGACAUGUAUGAUACAAAACAUGGACUUCGCAGAGUCCAUAG